GGGAAUAUUGCGCAAUGGGCGAAAGCCUGACGCAGCGACGCCGCGUGAGGGAUGACGGCCUUCGGGUUGUAAACCGCUUUCGCCUGUGACGAAGCGUGAGUGACGGUAAUGGGUAAAGAAGCACCGGCUAACUACGUGCCAGCAGCCGCGGUAAUACGUAGGGUGCGAGCGUUAAUCGGAAUUACUGGGCGUAAAGCGCGCGUAGGCGGAUUGAUCAGUCAGGGGUGAAAUCCCGGGGCU
RNAcentral lists this ribosomal RNA (240 nucleotides) under Rhodosorus marinus. Its description in RNAcentral is "partial Bacterial small subunit ribosomal RNA". It matches the Rfam family "Bacterial small subunit ribosomal RNA", at positions 357 to 609 of the family's 1533-position model. The record is from RNAcentral. Lineage: Eukaryota; Rhodophyta; Stylonematophyceae; Stylonematales; Stylonemataceae.